CGGAGAGUUUGAUCCUGGCUCAGGACGAACGCUGGCGGCAUGCCUAAUACAUGCAAGUCGAACGAACUUUCCUUUUGAUUGAUGCUUGCAUCAUGAUUUAGAUCUAAGUGAGUGGCGGACGGGUGAGUAACACGUGGGUAACCUGCCCAGAAGUGGGGGAUAACAUUUGGAAACAAGUGCUAAUACCGCAUAACAACAUUAAACACAUGUUUUUUGUUUAAAAGAUGGUUUUGCUAUCUCUUCUGGAUGGACCCGCGGCGUAUUAGCUAGUUGGUGAGGUAAUAGCUCACCAAGGCGAUGAUACGUAGCCGACCUGAGAGGGUAAUCGGCCACAUUGGGACUGAGACACGGCCCAAACUCCUACGGGAGGCAGCAGUAGGGAAUCUUCCACAAUGGACGAAAGUCUGAUGGAGCAACGCCGCGUGAGUGAAGAAGGGUUUCGGCUCGUAAAACUCUGUUGUUAAAGAAGAACAUAUCUGAGAGUAACUGUUCAGGUAUUGACGGUAUUUAACCAGAAAGCCACGGCUAACUACGUGCCAGCAGCCGCAGUAAUACGUAGGUGGCAAGCGUUGUCCGGAUUUAUUGGGCGUAAAGCGAGCGCAGGCGGUUUUUUAAGUCUGAUGUGAAAGCCUUCGGCUCAACCGAAGAAGUGCAUCGGAAACUGGGAAACUUGAGUGCAGAAGAGGACAGUGGAACUCCAUGUGUAGCGGUGAAAUGCGUAGAUAUAUGGAAGAACACCAGUGGCGAAGGCGGCUGUCUGGUCUGUAACUGACGCUGAGGCUCGAAAGUAUGGGUAGCAAACAGGAUUAGAUACCCUGGUAGUCCAUACCGUAAACGAUGAAUGCUAAGUGUUGGAGG
RNAcentral lists this ribosomal RNA (858 nucleotides) under uncultured bacterium. RNAcentral's name for it is "bacterial SSU rRNA". It matches the Rfam family "Bacterial small subunit ribosomal RNA", at positions 1 to 829 of the family's 1533-position model. The record is from RNAcentral.